Long non-coding RNA from Schistocerca gregaria, 14038 nucleotides. RefSeq lists it as uncharacterized. The record is from RefSeq and is a predicted model, not a curated record. Lineage: Eukaryota; Metazoa; Arthropoda; Insecta; Orthoptera; Acrididae. The transcript has 4 exons.
ACAUAAAUGUGCGCUGCAAUUGAAAAAGUGUGUACUCUGCAAAUGUUGUCUUUCACUUGCUUGUGCAGAAUUUGUUGCUUACCGCCACAAUCAGACAUGACAAUUCACAACAAGUGGGAUAAAAAUUCACUGAAUAACUCACUAUGAUCUUGUUUAAUGCUUGUACUUGCUAUGACGUACAUAACAGAGUGCUGGAAACACUACUGAAUGAAUGCUCAUUGGUUGGUGGAGAAUGCAUGACCUAAUUGCGCAAAACAAGCCUAAACUAAUCACCAUUGUUCAUGACUUCACCUACAAUAUUAAUGCGUGCAUGAUGCACAUUACUCCAUAGUGGUGUGCUGUGAAAUAAAAGUAUCUUAUAGGUUGCAGAGUGAAAGGCUGGAGUGAGUGUUACAGGGAGAAGAAGAGAGAUGCAGAUAGGUUAACACAGAAUAUUUGUUGUGAUUCAUUGAAUACAACCGUAAAUGACUGUGUGAUAUUCUUUUUUCAAACAAACGCUCAUUGUAUUUGGCCGUGGGUGAAGUAAAGCUUUGUUGAGGUUAAUUGCGAGAGCACUUGUUGUUUUGAGCAGUGUGCAAAGAUUAAUAAAUAUUAAUUCAAGCAUUUUGGUACAGUUUCUGCCUGUUAUGUGGUUCUUUGGAGGUAUGCUUAGUUUAAUAAUGCUGUAUAGCUGGGUUACAAAUGUGUAUCUGUUUAUGCAUAUGAGAAUGUAAUUAAUAUAGGAGCAGUUUGGCACAGUAUACUAUUGGAAGCUUUGUCUGUAUUUCUUUGCAUGAUGGAGAGGAGAAGAUGAUGUGGUACAUAAUGGGCUCAUUGCAUGAUUUGAGCAUGCUUUCAUGGUUAGGUGAUAUGCUAUAUGAGGUUCAAUCUGACAUGUAUACUGAUGUCCAUGACUGGUGUGGGAGGUAUGGUACACUUGCUUUAUGGAUUGGUUAAUUUUUUUGCAUUAUUUUUGAAUUGUUAACACUAAAAUAGCAGUGUUCUUUUAUGCAGUUGUGUAUGACCCUUUUAUACAUAUAAGUAUUUAUUUUCAGAGGAAACAGUUGUGGUUGUGAUGGAAGGCUGUGUUAUGACGUACACAUUGUAAGGACCAGGAGCAACUGCAAAUAUUUGAUAAGUCACCAAAAAACAUACAUUUAGGGGAGAAUAAUUGGAACAGCGGCAGCAAAAUGAUAGUAAGAGUUUAAAAUGACAGGAAGGAGAUUGAGCAGCUGCAGUUGAAAAAGGAUGAAUAGUUGCCAAUGAGCUUCGUUAGUUUUGUGCGUUAUUUGUGACUUUGAGAAUGUGUUCCCAGAUGGAUUGUAUAAUUUGUCCAUUGCAUGUAAUUUCAUCCUGAUAGUGAUACAAGAUGUUGCAGACGAAGCAGAAAAGCUAGUCGUGUUAUGACACUCCAUCAAGUGCAGCUCUGUUAUGAUUUCUUUCAGUGAAGUGGCAUGAGGAAAUCGAUUGUGAUUGCUGUUUAUUAAAACAAAAAGAUUCUUUGCCUAUUAAGGUGCACUGAUAGUUUCUCAUUAGGCAGUAUCCAGUUUUUGUUUUUGGAAGUGGUGGAGUUUGUUUCAGGACAAAUGUGUGUGCAGAAAAAAUAUGACAAUUGCUGUUGGAGCCAUAUUGCUUUAUUUAAUGUGUUGGUCACUACAGGUGUCAUGGAGAAUCAAUAUAUUGGGCUGAAGCUGAUAUUCAUGUGAUGUAAAUAUUUUGUAGAUAGUGGAGCAAAUAAAAUUGGGGCAAAGAACAGAAUUCCAGGGCACUAAGAAGCACACAAGAGGAAUGGAAAUGCAGUACUAACUUCACUAUAACAGAUGUGUAAAGUGACCACGAUUAAUCUUUAUGCGAUUUUGGGUUCUGGUCAGCAAGUAUCUGAAGGUGAAUCAAAGCUGGACUGUUGGAAUGGCUGCAGUCUCAUUCAAAAUAUUCUGCUGCAGUUCUUGAAGGCAAUGAGGGUUGUUGUGAUACACCUUAGACUUGAUGGCUUGCUAUGCAAAGGUAUCGCACACUAACAGAUCAGGUGACAUGGAUGGCCAGCUAUUUCCACUACCAGAAUGACCUCUUAUAACAUCUGUCAGGUCUGAAGUUUGUGUAAGUUCACUCAAAGGCCUUUCCAGCUGUAUGGGCAUAUAUCCGAUUUUAUUGGAAGUACGUAUAGGUUAUUUUCUCCUCAGUUAAUGCUACCACAAAUAUACCUCAAGAUGUAUCUAAUCAUCCAGGCCACUUCUACCUGGUCCACCCUGGUAUUUACGUAUGGCUUUAAUUACAGUGAAUAUAAUAUGUAGAUUGUGUUCCUUGAUUUUGUCUAAUGGUAUUUCAUGUAUAAUGAAUGGUACACCAUUCGUAGUGUCAUGUUGCAAAGUAGAGGCAGCCAGUGGGAUGCAGAGUAAUGGAUUGGAGUGAGUGUCAGAGGGUGAAGAGGAGAAUGCAGAUUCGUUAACAAAGAAUAUUUCUAGUAAUUCAUUGAAACUGUAAGUGAUGGCAUACUACUGUUGUAGUAUUGAAUAAUUUGCAGUAUUUCAGAAUAGUUGAGUGUUGUAUGUUACUGAACAGAGUAUAGAGGUAUGUGUUUUAUUAGUUCUGCACCAUCAGUGUAAUAAAUAUUGUGCCAAAUAGGAUGAAUAAUCAUGUGAAUGAGUAGAUUGACUGUGCUUCAGUUUCAGUCAUAUGGAAAACAUUUAUGUUCAGGAUUGAAAUCUUAAGAGCAUUGGUGUAGAUUGUGGUUUUAUUGCACUGAAAGGAUGCUUUGUAUGUUUGGCAGGAAUUUGAAUUUAGCAUGCUUGCUUCAUUACUGUGCUUGCUGCACAAGGUUCAGUCAAACAGUGUAUGCUAAUGUCCGUCAUUGGCAUGAGAGGUAUUGUACACUAGCAUUAUGGAAUGGUUAAUUUUUCUCAUUUCAUUGCUGAAUUAUUAGCGGCUGAAAUGACCGUGUUCUAUUAUGCUGUUGUGUGUGAUCCUUUUGUAUGGGUCACUCUGUAUUCAUUUAUUUUCAUAGAAAAUUAUUGGUGCUAUAACGAAAGGAUACGUUACGGCAUGCGUGUCGGAAGGAGCAGGAGCAACUGAAAAUACUCCAGUGUGUACCAAAAGACAUAAAUUUCGUGGAGAAUAGUUGGGACAGCAGCAGCGAAAUGAUAGUGUUUCAAAUGACUGGAAUGUGACUGAACAGAAUGAUAUUGAGGAGGAGUAGCUGUCAGUUCGUUUAGUCUUUACUGUGUUUCCCUAAGUAGGAGAAUGUUUACCUAGCAGUUAUAUAUAAUUUGUUGAAUUGUCUUAUAGCAAUAUGUGCUGUGACAGAUAAAGCAGAUAAGUUGUAUCCAUGUUGCGACACUUCAUCAAAUGCAGCUGUGUUGUGAUUUAUUUCAGUGAAGUGGCAUGAGGAAACUGGCGGUGCUUGUGUUGAUUACACCAAAGUGAUGGUUUUUCUGGUAAGGUGAUGCUGUUUCGUUAGGCAGUAUCCAUUUUUUGGAGUUGGAAGUGAUGGGUUUUUUGCAAUAGGAAUGUGUGUGUCUAGAGGAAAGAGGACUGUUGCUUUUGCUGCCAUGAUAUUUUAUGUAAUGUAUUUAUUGGAAGGGGUGUCAUGGUGAAUUAAUGUAUUUGGCUAAAUUUGAAAUUUUUGUGAUGCUUAGUAAUAAAUAUUAGUACUUAAAUAUGGUUUUAACUACUGUGUAUGCAACAUGUACUUCGUGUAACUUGAUUUUGUCUAACAUUAGUGCAUGCAUAAUGUAUGUUAUUUCCCUUCACCGUGUCAUGUUGUGAAAUGUAGGUAGCUUGUAGGUUGCAGGGUGAUAUAUAAAAGUGAGUGUAGGAGGGAGAAGAGAUACAGGUUGGUUAAGACAGAACAUAUCAAGUGUUAUCAAAGCAGGAAAAGAGUAGCUAGCAUUUACUACAAAGUUUCGUGCAGUAGAGUCCUUGAAUAUAAAUUUCUCAGUUCACUUGCCGCAUCAGUUUCGGAUAAAAUUCCAAGCUUUGGAUGAUAAUUACUAUCACCUUCGUUAGUGACUGAAACUGAUUGUCAUGUGCUGGCAGGGUACAGGAGGACGGAGUUAGCCUUUCUUAGAUGUGUUGGUUUUCAGCAGUCAGAUGCACAAGUGGGCCGUUCUGUGUACAGAAAACCAAUGUAUAUUAAACUGUAUCUCAGUGGGCAGAGCUUUCACCAUCUAGCUCAGAACAUAGCUAUACUGAGCAUCUUAGUCCACAGAGCCAGAACUAUUUUGUACAUGGGCCACCUCGGUUCCAAGAUUAAGCAACUGAAAACAAUGUUUUGAAGGAACAGGUGUUUUGUCUCUAACAUUAGAUCAACCCUGUUGGGAAAAACCAAGAUACAACUUCAUUCAAACAAGCCAAGAGGACCAACACACAGCAUGGAUUGCAUUCUACGGUGCAAUUAGUCCAGAACAGGCAAGAAAUGGACCAGUCUUCUGGGCACCUAGGAAUAUUAAACAAAUGUUGCAAUCCAUUAAUGAUAACAUUGGGCUGAGAGUUAUGGGAAUUUAUAACAUUGCUUGUAAGUGUGGCAAGAGUUACAUGGGCCAUUCCAUACUGACAGUUACCAAUUGUUGUCGAGGAUCAACAUCUCCACAAAUAUAGGCAUUUGCAUUAAUGAGCAGUGGCAGAUGACAUUCUGUAAAAUAAGCACAAGGUUUUGCUUGAACAAACAAGAAUACUGGCUCACACUUUGAACUAUUGGGAAUCUGUGAUAACAGAAGCUGUUAAAACCAGAUUUUGUUAAAACAACUUCAAUACAGGCAAUGGCUGUGCUCUUAGUAACGUAUAGAAUCAUGCACUUGACAAGGAAAAUACAGAGGAAUACUAGCUGCAGUUCACUGCCUGAUGCAAUGGAUGGUGCUACAAGCAACACUAGAAGAGUGUGCUAGCAAAAUCUAGUGAUGUAGUAUGUGCCACCUCUCUAUGUACCAUAAUGAUGUAAUUUUAGCCAGUUGGAUUCUAUGCUGAGGCUAUAAUGUUGUCAGUGCAGAUAGUUGUAAUAGUUGUAGAGUACACUGAUGCCCAAAGGUCAGUGACAGCCUGCAUAAUUGAGGUAGGAAAUUUGUAAGAGGGUCACAAGUGAAUGGUGGCAUACUGUCAUAGCACUGAAAUGUUUGGCAGUAUUUGAGAAUGAUUAGAAUAUUUCAGUUACAGUAAGUGUUGUGUGUUACUGGACAGGUUAUAGGUAUGCAUUUCAUUAGUGGCAUUUGCAAACACUGUAAUUUUUACUUGUCUCUUAGCAUGAAUAGUCAUACUGUGAAUGACAAGAUUCAGUCUGCUUAAGUAUCAAAUAUUUGGAAUGGAUGUAUGUUCAGGAUGCAAUUGAUCACAGCAUUGGGUAAACCAAUGGUUUUAUUGUACUGGAACGGUGCCUUGCAUGUGGUGACAAAUUUGAUUUCGGUGUGGUUGCUUGGGGAUUUGGUUUGCUGUAUGAGGUUGUCAGACAUGCUAUGCUAAUGUCCAUCACUGGCAUGAGAGGUAUGAUACACUUGCAUUUUGGAUGUAUUAAUUUUUCUUGCUUUAUUGCUGCAUAAUGGACAGCUGAAAUAACAAUGUUCUUUUAUGCUAUUAUAGGUGACCCUUUUGUAUUCAUCACGGAGUUUUUUAUUUUCAUAGGAAUUAGUUAUGGAGGUGUGGUGUGAAGUCUCAAUCAUUGGUUUAUUUUGGGAUUGUGUUUUGAGUGACAUUUCUGUAUUUCUAUAGCUUGCAGGAGUUUAGUUGUGGUGUGCAUCAGUUAAUAACAAUAUAGUAGCAGCUGAGAGGGUAUGGUAUUUACUUUGCAGAUAUCAGCAAUAUGGAUUUACCUGUAUGAAGGACUAGUAUGGCAUACUUUAUAAAGAAUCAUUCUUGUGGAAUGUGUGCUUUGAGAGAAUCUAGUGGUUUUUAAUGUGAUCUGAGAUGAAUGUUGUAUGUGCUACCAUUUGGCAAUUGUUUCAAAAAUUUGUACUCAUCUAGUGGACAUGAAGUGAUGAUUUAAUUACUUGAAAGUUGUUUGCAAAGAGUUACUAGCAACCUAAGCAGAUGUGAGUAUAUCAUCAGGUGCUAGUCAUAGUAGCUAGGACAAAUCAUUAUCUAAAGCUUUGAAAAUGCACAACAGUGUGCUGCCGAAUAAUGUUAUUUUAUUUUGAUACCAGUUUCAGUUCUGAACAAUCAUCAGGGAAAUUACCAUAAAUGUAUUACAUAUUAUAUGUGUAUUAAAAAUAAGCUGUCACAGGAUAUCAUAAUUGUAAAGAUAAUAUAAAAUUGAAAAUUGUAACAAGAUAAAAAUAUGAUGGGUUGUGAUAAAUUUGCCAUAAUUUUCCCACCAAUGAUACUGGUUCAGACUGAAGUUGCUAAAAAAAAAAAAAUCUGAAAGCACAACAUUACCCAAAUUUUUAAAAGUUUGCAGAUGCUAUUGACCAUCACCUGAGCAAGAUGUUCAUUAUCUAAGUCAUCAAUGAUGCAAGGAAAAAUUUCAUUAGUUGUCACUGAUGAAAUCUGUUGUGUCUAUAUUCUAUAACUACUGGUAGAAACAAUAAGUAAUUGCUAUAGUGUGGUAAUUACUGUAGUGUGAAGCAGGCAUAUGAUGCGAAGUUGAUAUGUUGGUGACAUUGUGUCAGAGGAAUAACUAGAUGGCUUACUAAAAUAUAAAAUUCUGUUUCACUGUUUGUGUGGCCAUAUGCACUGGUACUUCUAGUGGUGACUAUGUUGUAUGCUGUUGUUUCAUGGAUUUCAUUCUAGGGUGUUGUGUAAACACAUGCAAGAGGUGUCUAAAAAGAUAGUUCAUUGUGUGAACGAUGUAAGUGGAUUGUGAAAGCAGCUUUGAAAUGUUGGCAGUGCAGAUAGUUGUAGACCGCCUUUACGCAUUGGUGCCCAAGGAUCAUUGCUGAACUGCGUAAUUGGCAUAGAUGAUGGAACACUACAAGAGAGUGGCAUGAUAGUUAACUGAAAUUGCAGUUGUAUUUGAAAGUAUUUGUGUCAUAGGAUUUGUUGUGUGCUAUUAAAUGGAGUAGGGGUGUGUGUUUCAUUAAUUUUAUACCAUCACUUUCUGUAGCUACCACUAACAUUUGUUGUUACUCUUGGGAUGAGUAGUUGUAAUGUGAAUGAUUGGAUUUACUGUGCUUAAAUUGCAAGCAUUUGGAGGGAAUUCAGUCGGUCACUAAAUUGGUGGAUUUCAUACAGUUAUUAAAUUUGAUUUGAGUGUGUUUGCUUGGUUAUGUGGUUUGCUGCAUGAGGUUCAGUCAGGCAUCAUGGGCAUGAGAGUUAUGAUAUACUUACAUUACGGAUUGGCUAAUUUUUCUUGCGUUAUUGCUGGAUUGUUAACAGUUCAAAUGACAGUGUUCUGUUAUGCUAUUGUUUAUGACCUUUUAAUUAUUAUUAUUAUUAUUAUUAUUAUUAUUAUUAUUAUUGUUAUUAUUUUAUUUUUAGAGGAAAUGUUUGUGCAUAUAAGAGAAGACUGUGUUAUACGUACCUGUUGGAUGGUGCAGAAGAAAAUGCAGAAGUAGUAGUAUUAGACAAAAAAUGUAACUACAGGAGAACAGGUGGAACAGUAGUUAAAAAGAUGGUGUGUGUCUUAAAUGACUGAAAUGGGAUAGAUGCUAUCAGAGCGUUCCAUUAGUGUGCGAUUGUGUCUUCAGUGACUAGGACAAUAUAUAUGUAAUUUGCUCCAUUGGAUUCAGUUUCUGCCUUAUAGCAACAUGUGAUUCUUGUUGAUGAAGCAGAAAAAUUGAUGCCAUGUUUUUAUACUCCCUCAAGUGAAACACUGUUGUGAUUUGGUACAGUAACAAAUAAUUAAAUGGGUUAUUUGUCCAUAAUAACUUAACAGUUGUGGGCAUAGUCAGUUUACAAACACAAGAACAUGAAGAAAAAUUUAGGAGUAAAGAUAAAUUAUUCACAGUACCAUUAGAAAUCUUUGAUGGAGUACAAACAUUUAUCAAUUAACAGUUUUAUAUUAUUUGGCAAUCUUAUAAAAAUGUCUUAAAGCUGAAAAUGGACCAUUAUCUGUUACUCUUUUGUUGCUAAAUUUUAUGUGGGAAUCCUGUCUUUCUCUUGUAAUUACAGAUUUCACUAUUAAUUACCAUAUGCUCCAUAUUUUCUUUUACAAACAGUGUAGUUCUGACAACAUACAAUGAAUUUACUGUUAGUAUGUUAUACUCAAUGAAAUAUUCUCUACAGGACUGCCACUUACAAAUAUUAGAUAUUAUCCUAAUUGCUCUUUUCUGUUCUCUAAAAGCCCUAUCCAUAUAUACCAUUGGUGCCCAACCCCAAAUCUCGAUACCAUAUUUCAGGUGGGAGGGGAUAAUUCCAAAAUAGAUUUGUCUUAAAAUAGGUUGCACUAUUACGCUAGAAAGGUGUUUUAGCCGGUAGGUGUUACAGGAGAUUUUUUACAUGUGUAAGUAAUGUACUCCUUCCAUGUAAGAUGUUCCUAUACUAUAAUACCCAGGAAUUUAUGUUUAUCAAUUGUUUCAACUGAUAGCGCUGUUUCUGUAUCCACUUGUCUUGAUUUAUAAUUUAGUAGAAACUCCAUCAGAAAUGAAGAAACUGAUUGUGAGUGCUGUGAGUAAACCAAACUCUUUCUGUACUGAGGUAUGAUGAUGGUUUUUCAUUAGGUAGUAUCCACUGUGUUGUGGUUGAAAGCGAUGGAGUUAUCAUUGGAUGUUUCAGGACAAACGUGUAUGCAAAGUAACGAGGAAUAUUUCUGUUGGAAUUCUGAAGUUACAUGGAAUGUACUUAUUGCUACAGGUGUCAUAAAGAAUUAGUACGCUGGUCACACCAAAAGAAAUGCACACUAGUUUUUUUUUUAAAAUCCAUCUUUUAUUCUACAUGUUCAAAAGUUUUACAAUGUGUAGGUACAUCCUUUAGGAACAAUAUUUUCAUUUCUCUACAUAAUUUCCAUCCCUCUCAACUGCCUUACCCAUCUUGGGAUUAGCGCCUGUAUAUCCGCACGGUAAAAUUCUGGGCCAACCUGUUGGAGCCACUGUUUGGCAGCAUGCACAAGGGAGUCGACAUCUUCCAACCUUCUUCCAUGAAGAGAGUCUUUCAGUUUCCCAAAGAGAUCAGUCACAUGCAGCCAGGUCAGGAUUUAAGGCGGGUGUUUCAGUGUUGUCCAUCCGAGUUUUGUGAUCGCUCCCAUGGUUUUUUGACUGACGUGGGUGUACAUUGUCGUGCAACAGCAAAACAUCCUGCUUUUGCCGAUGUGGUCGAACACGACUCAGUUGGGCUUGAAGUUUCUUCAGUGUCAUCCCAUAUGCAUCAGAAUUUGUGGUGGUUCCAGUUGGCAUGAUGUCCACAAGCAAGAGUCCUUCAGAAUCGAAAAACACUAUAGGCAUAACUUUCCCAGCAGAAGAUGUGGUUUUGGUUUUAUUUUUUUUACCCCACCCCAUGGGUGAAUUUGCAUGAUGCCACUCCACUGAUUACCGCUUUGUCUGGUGAAAAAUGAUGGAGUCAUGUUUCAUCACCUGUCACAAUUCUUCCAAGAAAUUCAUCUCCACCAUUUUUGUACAAUUCCAAAAGUUCACUGCAUACCGUUUUUCUUGUUUCUUUGUGAGCCACUGUCAACAUCCUGGGAACGCACCUGGCACAAACCUUUUUAACGCCAACGCUUUCUGUAUUUUGCAAACACUUCCUUCCCCUAUCCCAAUGUAGCAUGACAAUUCAUUCACUGUGGUGCAUCUUGUCAGCAGUCACCAAUUCGUUAACUCUCUGCACAUGGUCUGGAGUGUGUGCAGUACGAGGCCUGCUACUGUGAGGACAAUCCUCAAUAUUGCCGAGCCCGCUUUCAUCGUGUAACCUGCUUGCCCACCGACUAACUGUACUGCUAUCAACAGCAGCAUCUCCAUACACCUUUUUCAACCUCUUGUGGAUGUUUCCCAUUGUCUCGUUUCCACAGCACAGGAAUUCUAUGACAGCACAUUGCUUCUGACGAACGUCAAGUGUAGCAGCCACCUUGAAGAUACGCUGUGACGGUGCCACUCAUGGGAACAGGUUGAACUAAGUUUGAAAACAAGUGCAAAGGAUGUAUCUACACACUGUGAAACUUUUCACACAUGCAGAAUGAAAACUGUAUUUUUACAAAAAUAGUGUGCAUUUCUUUUGGAGUGACCCUCGUAUAUUCGGCGAAGGAUGAGAUUUGUGUGAUGUGUAAUAGUAAAUUCUUCAUAUUCCUCUAUACUUUUAAUUAUGAGUGCAAUUUGUAUAUUGUGUAACUUGGUUUUGUCUAAUAUUAGUUUGUGAUAACAUGUAUUAAUCUGUUCAUAGCGUCACACUGUGAAAUAUAAGUAGGUUGCAGAGUGAUUGACUGGGCUGAAUGUAGGAGCGAGAGGAGAAGAGGUUGCGGGUUGGUUAACAUGAUGUCUUUGUAGUGAUACAUAGAAUCCGAGUCUCAGAAUAGGGAGGUUGCCGUGUUUGCAGAAGUGUUAAUAAGCAUGUAGACAGUGUAAUUUUGUUUGCAAAGGAGACAUUUAUUGCAUUUUGUUGUGUGCAAAUGCUUUGUAAAGUUAAUUGUGGCAGUACUUGUUUGAGUAGUGUUCAGGUAUGAAUUUCGUGGUAACUUGAGCAUCUUGGUUCCAUUUUUUGUCUAUUAUAUGUUGUUCUUUGCUGCUAUGCUGUUUCAAACUGUCACUUUAUUAAUGUUUUCAAAUGGAUUAAAAAGUUAUGUUGUUUGUGCAUAUGAAAAUGUGUGUAACAUAAAAGCAGUUUGGCACAAAGUAUUAUUGGGAGCUUUGUAUGUAUUGUUUUGUUCGACGGAGGGGAAUAGCUGUUGAACCACAUGAAGGGCUCAGUGCUUAAAUAUUGUAUGGAUGAUAUGCUGAAUAAUUGGCUGAGAUGCAUGCUAAGAGACAAUACUGCUUUUGCGAGGUUUGUGUCAGGGUGUUGGACAUAUUGAUCACUUACAGCCUUAAUUAUUAUUUGUUUAUCAUAUGAUGAAACACAGCAUUGCUUAAGCGUCUGAGUUUAUUGCAUUAAAUCAGUGUCUUUCUUAUAGUGGCAUAAAUUUGAUUCCAUUGUAUUAGCUUUAUUAGGUGCUUUGCUGUACGAGGUUCAGUCAGGCAUGCCACACAAACCUCCAUCACUAGCAUGAGAGGUAUGGUACACUUGCAUUAUGUAUCAGUUAAUUUUUCUUGCAUUAUAGCUGAAUUAUUAAUAGCUGAAACUACAGUGUUCUUAUAUGCUAUUGUCUACAGCCCUUACAUAUAGGUCACUGUAUGUCAUUUAUUUUCAGAAAAAAUGGUUGUGGUUAUAAGGAAGCAAUCUUAUUAUGUACAUGUUGGAAGGAACAGAAACAAAGGCAAACAUAUAAGACAUUGUCAGAAAACAUGCAGUUACAGGAGAAUAACUGGAACAGCAGUUAGAAAAAAUGAUAGUAUACGUUUUAAAAGACUGGAAGAGGAUUGAGCACAAUGCAAUUAAAUGAAUGUGAGAAGUGUCACAGAGUUCCGUUAGUUCGCUGUUGGAUCAUCCCUUAAUAUGAGGUUUUCCCAGGUUGUAUGUGUUAUGUGUUGAAUUGUAUAUAAUUUCUGCCUAUAGUGAUAAGAGGUCGCAGAAGCAGCAGAAAAAUUAACGUAAUGUUAUACUCUUUUAAGUGAAACUCUGUUGUGAUUUGUUUCAGUAAUGUGGUACAAAGAAAGUGACUGUAAGCGCUGUUGAUGAAAGAAAAUGACUCUUCCUGUGCUACGGUAUUGUGAUGGUUUUUAUUAGGCUAUAGCCAGCAUGCUGUGGUUGGAAGUGGUGGGUUUACCAAUGGAUGUUUCAGGACAGAACGAGUAAUGAAAGUUGGAAAAUUGAAAGUUUUUCCUGCAGCAGUGUUGUCAUGUGUCUACACUCAAUGUGAGAUAUGGCAGGAAUGAAAGGGGAUGUGUCAGCUACUAGUUUUAUGCAUCUAAUGAUAGUGGUGGUGAGCAGAUGAUAUGUUUUGAAGAAAGACACAUUUAAAUGUCUCACAUCACUGUGGAAAUGAAAUCCAAUAUGUAUUUGGCAGAAAGCAACUGCUUUCUUAGAUCCCAACAUAACCACAAUCUCAGAAACUGUGACAUAUUUGGAAGGCACAGUCAAUGAAGAUGUAAAUUUCCCAGCUGUGCUAUUGGGAUGACAAUGUGAUUAAAAAGAGUGAGACUCCAGAUGACAUGCUUAGAAAUCAAAAGAUAGUGAAGGGACAUUGCAAUAAACCUGCUACUACUACUGAAUACCUGGAGGAAGGAAAAAGUUACUGGGAACUGUGCGCUAAACAGUGAGGAAUGUUCGCAAAAUAAAGACAAGGCAACAAGGAACCAACCUUAACAAUCAAGGGGAGUAAAUGCAAGAUAGCCCAAGACUGUUGCUGUAAUUACCUCCAAUGGAAAAUAGCUUUCAAAGCCAACAAGUGUGGCUGUGUGCACAGACACCACAUAUGUCAGCUGUUGUAGGUUGAGAAAUUUGUUGAUUGGGAUCAGAUUGUGUACUGUGUCUGUGUAUAUUGCAUAAACUGUACAUAAAGUUUUUUUCUGUUUUUGAAAAUAGUUGAUCUUAGAUUGUCAUUUACUGUGGCAAUGUUCAGAGAUAUUAAAUGUAUUAUGUAAGAGUAAAUGUAUUUGGAUUUUCCAUUAAACAAAAACAAAGAUGUUAACUUAGUUGGGUAGUAGUACUUGCUGUGUUUGUGGUUUCCAGUGUUGUGAUGCGUGGUAGAGGAACAAGGAUGAUUUGUUGGAUAGUUGGUAGAGGAAAUGAAGUUGGAUAUGUUAUUGUGGAGAAAAACUGUUAAUUUAGUUUCAUAGCAAUCUGCUGUACUUUCAUCUGUUGCCAAGAGAAAUUUCAGGUCUUUGUGGACAGAUGACCGUGACAUGAUGUUACGGUAGAACUGUUACAUUUAAUCUGAGAAUGGGUGCUUGUUCUCUUGAUAUGUGUAUUCAACAGGAAGAACAAUAUCACGAGGUUGAAUGCAAUAAUUCAGGAUAAUAGUUAAAAUUUGAAAUAGCUAGUUCAUUUGUUCAUUAUUUAUCUCGUGUCUCUUAAUUUUGAAAUGCUCUGCAAUUAUAACAGACCGGUACAGGCACGACUGUGGUAUCAGAAUUGCAUGUAACAUCACUGUUUAUGAAGUAUAAACCAUAAAUAGAUGUAAACAAUUGAAUAGUGUCCAGAAUUAUUAUUCGAACUGUUGAAAUGUGCUCUUUUGUCUUUAGAGGCAUGCAAAUAUUACUGAGCAUGCACAACAUUCAGCACAUCUGGUAUAUGAGACUUUUGAAAAGUGAUUGAAAAGUAUUAGAGAUACACUGUUAUCAAAUGUAUGUUUAAAAUUGAAAUGGAGAACUGUUAAGUGCUUCAGCAAGGACUGUUAGCAGAUAUCCUUAACACAAAUGGGUCACAGGGCAGCCGUGAAAGUAACAAGUUGUACUCUACAUAACUUUAAAAAAGUUAAAUGUAACUUUUCCAAGUAGCUAAUAGUGACUCAUAUAAACUUGUCACUGUUAGUAAUAAUUUCUUGACUUCCAUUGUAAAAAGUUGAAACAUUAGUCCCCAUCAUUUGCAUACUAUUUCUAACUGCUGAAAUAAUUUCCCUGCUUCACAGACCUCUGUAGUAUUAUAAUGUCCGGUUUUCUAAAAAGAGUGAAGCAACAUUUCACAGUGAAAUACAAGAUAUGAAUGAUGGUAAUUUGGAAAUAUUUUCGUAAUAUUUUGUGUAUUUGUCAGGAAGUUAAACAUAAUUAAUACCUAUAGUAAACAUUUAAUGAUGCUGCAACUGUUUCAUGUCAUCACUUUAUAAAUGAAAACAAAGUAAAUAGUACAGUCUCAUGUCCUUUUUUAAAUACAUUGUUCUUUGAGAAAAUGAGAAUUAAUAUUUUCAUCAGCUAGUUAUGUGAUGAAAAUUUUUGUAUGGCUUGGUUAUGAAGAAAAACAAGGGGAUUGUUUAUGGUGAUGUUAAUAGUAAAUUAAUAGUAUGAACUACACAAGUGAGAAUGUAAUGUGCGAAAGAAAUGCUCCUUAAAUAGUGAAGUUAUCAAGUAAAAGGAAGUUAACAAAUGGUUUAUCUAUACUUGCUCUCAUUUUAGGUUAUGAUGAUGUUGAUAAUUUUGUAUUGUAUACUGGUGACAAAUACAAUGACACAAUUACUCUUUCA